UCAAAUAUUUUUUCAAAAUUUUUAAUUUGCCAAACAGCUUUUUUAAAUCACUUCAGAAAAAAUCACUUUUAUCUAAACUCCACCAAACGCUCUAUAGCUUUUAAGCACAAUCACUUCUCCAAACCAAAAUUACUUUUUCAGAAAUCACUUUUUCAGAAGCUAGGCCAAACAGGCCCAAAGUCUAACUAGUAAAAACAAAAGUAAAACAAGAAUUGGGUUGACUUAAU
Molecule: long non-coding RNA, 227 nt
Filed under: Ananas comosus (pineapple)
Lineage: Eukaryota; Viridiplantae; Streptophyta; Magnoliopsida; Poales; Bromeliaceae
Description: long non-coding RNA (ACOM_LNC029376)
Source: RNAcentral